This 253-nucleotide ribosomal RNA is filed under the name uncultured bacterium. RNAcentral describes it as "partial 16S ribosomal RNA". It matches the Rfam family "Bacterial small subunit ribosomal RNA", at positions 524 to 776 of the family's 1533-position model. The record is from RNAcentral.
UACGGGGGGGGCUAGCGUUGUUCGGCCUUACUGGGCGUAAAGCGCGCGUAGGCGGGCUGUUAAGUCGGGGGUGAAAUCCCGGGGCUCAACCCCGGAACGGCCUCCGAUACUGGCAGCCUUGAGGUCGGGAGAGGUGAGUGGAAUGGCGAGUGUAGAGGUGAAAUUCGUAGAUAUUCGCCGGAACACCAGUGGCGAAGGCGGCUCACUGGCCCGAUACUGACGCUGAGGUGCGACAGCGUGGGGAGCAAACAGG